RNAcentral lists this ribosomal RNA (380 nucleotides) under uncultured eukaryote. RNAcentral's name for it is "partial 18S ribosomal RNA". It matches the Rfam family "Eukaryotic small subunit ribosomal RNA", at positions 592 to 976 of the family's 1831-position model. The record is from RNAcentral.
CAAUAGCGUAUAUUAAAGUUGUUGCGGUUAAAAAGCUCGUAGUUGGAUUUCUGCUGAGGAUGACCGGUCCGCCCUGUGGGUGUGCAUCUGGCUCAGCCUUGGCAUCUUCCUGGAGAACGUAGCUGCACUUGACUGUGUGGUGCGGUAUUUAGGACAUUUACUUUGAGGAAAUUAGAGUGUUUCAAGCAAGCGCACGCUUUGAAUACAUUAGCAUGGAAUAAUAAGAUAGGACCUUGGUUCUAUUUUGUUGGUUUCUAGAGCUGAGGUAAUGAUUGAUAGGGAUAGUUGGGGGCAUUCGUAUUUAACCGUCAGAGGUGAAAUUCUUGGAUUUGUUAAAGACGGACUACUGCGAAAGCAUUUGCCAAGGAUGUUUUCAUUGA